UUGACGGGACCCGCACAAGCGGUGGAUGAUGUGGAUUAAUUCGAUGCAACGCGAAAACCUUACCUACCCUUGACAUGUCUGGAACCUUGCUGAGAGGCGAGGGUGCCUUCGGGAGCCAGAACACAGGUGCUGCAUGGCUGUCGUCAGCUCGUGUCGUGAGAUGUUGGGUUAAGUCCCGCAACGAGCGCAACCCUUGUCAUUAAUUGCUACGAAAGGGCACUCUAAUGAGACUGCCGGUGACAAACCGGAGGAAGGUGGGGAUGACGUCAAGUCCUCAUGGCCCUUAUAGGUGGGGCUACACACGUCAUACAAUGGCUGGUACAAAGGGUUGCCAACCCGCGAGGGGGAGCCAAUCCCAUAAAGCCAGUCGUAGUCCGGAUCGCAGUCUGCAACUCGACUGCGUGAAGUCGGAAUCGCUAGUAAUCGUGGAUCAGCAUGUCACGGUGAAUACGUUCCCGGGUCUU
Molecule: ribosomal RNA, 464 nt
Filed under: uncultured Diaphorobacter sp.
Lineage: Bacteria; Pseudomonadati; Pseudomonadota; Betaproteobacteria; Burkholderiales; Comamonadaceae
Description: bacterial SSU rRNA
Rfam family: Bacterial small subunit ribosomal RNA
Source: RNAcentral